CGAGAAUGACAAUUCGAGCAGGUGCGAAAGCAGGUCAUAGUGAUCCGGUGGUUCUGAAUGGAAGGGCCAUCGCUCAACGGAUAAAAGGUACUCCGGGGAUAACAGGCUGAUACCGCCCAAGAGUUCAUAUCGACGGCGGUGUUUGGCACCUCGAUGUCGGCUCAUCACAUCCUGGGGCUGAAGUCGGUCCCAAGGGUAUGGCUGUUCGCCAUUUAAAGUGGUACGCGAGCUGGGUUUAGAACGUCG
RNAcentral lists this ribosomal RNA (246 nucleotides) under Vibrio parahaemolyticus. RNAcentral describes it as "partial 23S ribosomal RNA". It matches the Rfam family "Bacterial large subunit ribosomal RNA", at positions 2376 to 2621 of the family's 2925-position model. The record is from RNAcentral. Lineage: Bacteria; Pseudomonadati; Pseudomonadota; Gammaproteobacteria; Vibrionales; Vibrionaceae.